CCAACCGUCAGAUGGCAACAAUUUUCACAGUAGUGACUGUCGGACUGUUUAUGUUAGUGUGGUUCUGGUUCAUAUUAUGAAUUGAGUGAGCGAGAACACAAAAAUGGGUUAACAUUUGAUAUUGGUAGACGAAGCUACCCCCUCCCCCGUCAGCGUCAAAUCUUUUUUCCCCAAUAACGUUAACGUUCCGUUUCGUUGAACGCCGCCAGUUUUGACGUUUCCUUGUCUUCCGUGUAGUGUUGGUCACUCUACAGUUGGGCGUUGUUACUUGUUAGGGCGGUGGUUGCUGCUUAUUGAGAUGUAGGUCGUGGUGGAGUUUGGUAUUACGAAUUUUGGUGGAAAUGUUUUAAUAUGCAACAGUGGUUUGAAAAAUGUCC
Long non-coding RNA from Schistocerca serialis cubense, 377 nucleotides. RefSeq lists it as uncharacterized. Lineage: Eukaryota; Metazoa; Arthropoda; Insecta; Orthoptera; Acrididae. The record is from RefSeq and is a predicted model, not a curated record. The transcript has 3 exons.